Long non-coding RNA from Octopus sinensis (East Asian common octopus), 1180 nucleotides. RefSeq lists it as uncharacterized. The transcript is spliced from 2 exons. The record is from RefSeq and is a predicted model, not a curated record. NCBI's taxonomy places the organism in Eukaryota, Metazoa, Mollusca, Cephalopoda, Octopoda, Octopodidae.
UCUUGUCUUGUGGGAAACAAUAAUUUGUUUUCGUAUUGAAAACAUUAUCACACACACACAAAAUGUGUAUGCAAUGCACUUAGUGUCUAAAUACAUAUAUAUAUACAUGUAUGUGUGUGUAUAUUACAUAUAUAAGGGCAAGUCAAAAUAUAUAUGCACUCUUGCUUUUGUAAUUUAUUAAAACAUAAGCAGAGAUUGAACAAUUACAUCAUUUUUUGGCAUAGUUUCCUUGCUUUACGACACACUUCUUCCAGCAGUCCAUAAGCUUGCUUAUUUCAUUGGAGAAGGAGGCUUAUGGUUGGUUGCACAGUCAUUUAUGCAUCACUUCCUGUGCUUCUUCAUCCAUACCAAAUUGAUGACCUCAUAAAGGAUGUUUGAGCAGUCUAACGAGAUGAUAGUCAAAAGGGGUGAAACCUGGACUGCAUACAGAGUGUUCCAGCAACUUGAAGCCCAAUUUUUCAUUGGUUUCAAUGGAGUGGGCAGCCAUAUAUAUGAAUGUGCAUUGUCAUGCUACAAUAACACUUGAUUUGACAACAGACCUCAGCAUCUGGUGUAGAUUGCUGGUUUCACUUUGUUGGUCAUCAUUUCACUGAUGACUGUAGACCUCUUUUCUGGUAUAGUCCCUUUUUCCUUUUCAAAAAAUGGUUAGCAUCACUUUUACUGCAGAAGGUUGAGUCUUGAAUUUCUUUUUCACUCACGAUUCCAGGCAUUUCUGCUCCAUACUCUGCGUUUUGGAUUCUGGCUCAAAGUGAUGGACUCAGGUCUCAUCUUCUGUGACUAUUGUUGCCAAAAAAGCUUUGCCUCCAUCGUUUACACUUAUGUGCUUCUGUAAGCUCUAUGGCACUCAUCUUGUACAGACUUUACAGAUGUGAAGCUUGUUGUGGAUGAUUUCAUAUGCAGCGGAUAUGCCACCUCACCAAUGGUCACUUGUUGGUUCACUAGAACCAUCUUUCAAGCUUGUUGAAUUUUCAUGUCAGUGUUGGAGGUUGGUGGGCAUCCUCUCAAUCCACUCAUACACAUGUCUACACAGUAGGGCAUUGUCCCCCUAUUGUACUGAAAGCCUGUGAUGUAUUUCAGCCCCUGGCACACCUUCAGACUUAAAAAAUCAGACCACUGAUCUUUGUUCUUCCUUGGUGCACACUGCCAGUGGAGCAGCCAUGAUUACUCUUUUAAUGCAAGA